UUGAACAUUACUUAGUGGCGAACGGGUGAGUAACGCGUAGACAACCUGCCUCAAAGAUGGGGACAACACCGCGAAAGUGGUGCUAAUACCGAAUGUUGCAUUGGAUUCGCAUGAAUCUGAUACUAAAGGUGGCCUCUUUAAAUGCUACCGCUUUGAGAUGGGUCUGCGUCUGAUUAGCUAGUUGGUGAGGUAACAGCUCACCAAGGCGAUGAUCAGUAGCCGGUCUGAGAGGAUGAACGGCCACACUGGGACUGAGACACGGCCCAGACUCCUACGGGAGGCAGCAGUGGGGAAUCUUCCGCAAUGGACGAAAGUCUGACGGAGCAACGCCGCGUGAGUGAAGAAGGUUUUCGGAUCGUAAAGCUCUGUCUUUGAGGACGAAUGUGCUUAAUGUGAAUAAUGUUAAGUAAUGACGGUACUCGAGGAGGAAGCCACGGCUAACUACGUGCCAGCAGCCGCGGUAAUACGUAGGUGGCAAGCGUUGUCCGGAAUUAUUGGGCGUAAAGCGCGCGCAGGCGGGAUAUUAAGUCUGUCUUAAAAGUUCGGGGCUCAACCCCGUGAUGGGAUGGAAA
This 572-nucleotide ribosomal RNA is filed under the name uncultured bacterium. Its description in RNAcentral is "bacterial SSU rRNA". It matches the Rfam family "Bacterial small subunit ribosomal RNA", at positions 81 to 632 of the family's 1533-position model. The record is from RNAcentral.